RNAcentral lists this ribosomal RNA (420 nucleotides) under uncultured cyanobacterium. RNAcentral describes it as "bacterial SSU rRNA". It matches the Rfam family "Bacterial small subunit ribosomal RNA", at positions 376 to 811 of the family's 1533-position model. The record is from RNAcentral. Lineage: Bacteria; Bacillati; Cyanobacteriota.
CGAAAGCCUGACGGAGCAAUACCGCGUGAGGGAGGAAUGCCUUUGGGUUGUAAACCUCUUUUCUCAGGGAAGAAGAUCUGACGGUACCUGAGGAAUAAGUAUCGGCUAACUCCGUGCCAGCAGCCGCGGUAAUGCGGAGGAUGCAAGCGUUAUCCGGAAUCAUUGGGCGUAAAGCGUCCGCAGGUGGUUUCCAAAGUCUGCUGUUAAAGACUGGAGCUCAACUCCGGAACGGCGGUGGAGACUUGGAAACUAGAGUUCGGUAGGGGUAGCAGGAAUUCCCAGUGUAGCGGUGAAAUGCGUAGAUAUUGGGAAGAACAUCGGUGGCGAAGGCGUGCUACUGGACCGCAACUGACACUCAGGGACGAAAGCUAGGGUAGCGAAAGGGAUUAGAUACCCCUGUAGUCCUAGCCGUAAACGAUG